Molecule: ribosomal RNA, 484 nt
Filed under: uncultured bacterium
Lineage: Bacteria
Description: partial 16S ribosomal RNA
Rfam family: Bacterial small subunit ribosomal RNA
Source: RNAcentral
AUUGAACGCUGGCGGCAGGCCUAACACAUGCCAGUCGAGCGGAUGAAGGGAGCUUGCUCCUGGAUUCAGCGGCGGACGGGUGAGUAAUGCCUAGGAAUCUGCCUGGUAGUGGGGGAUAACGUCCGGAAACGGGCGCUAAUACCGCAUACGUCCUGAGGGAGAAAGUGGGGGAUCUUCGGACCUCACGCUAUCAGAUGAGCCUAGGUCGGAUUAGCUAGUUGGUGGGGUAAAGGCCUACCAAGGCGACGAUCCGUAACUGGUCUGAGAGGAUGAUCAGUCACACUGGAACUGAGACACGUUCCAGACUCCUACGGGAGGCAGCAGUGGGGAAUAUUGGACAAUGGGCGAAAGCCUGAUCCAGCCGUGCCGCGUGUGUGAAGAAGGUCUUCGGAUUGUAAAGCACUUUAAGUUGGGAGGAAGGGCAGUAAGUUAAUACCUUGCUGUUUUGACGUUACCAACAGAAUAAGCACCGGCUAACUUCGUG